This 467-nucleotide ribosomal RNA is filed under the name uncultured bacterium. Its description in RNAcentral is "partial 16S ribosomal RNA". It matches the Rfam family "Bacterial small subunit ribosomal RNA", at positions 28 to 506 of the family's 1533-position model. The record is from RNAcentral.
GACGAACGCUGGCGGCGUGCUUAACACAUGCAAGUCGAACGGAAAGGCCCUGCUUUUGUGGGGUGCUCGAGUGGCGAACGGGUGAGUAACACGUGAGUAACCUGCCCUUGACUUUGGGAUAACUUCAGGAAACUGGGGCUAAUACCGGAUAGGAGCUCCUGCUGCAUGGUGGGGGUUGGAAAGUUUCGGCGGUUGGGGAUGGACUCGCGGCUUAUCAGCUUGUUGGUGGGGUAGUGGCUUACCAAGGCUUUGACGGGUAGCCGGCCUGAGAGGGUGACCGGCCACAUUGGGACUGGGGUACGGCCCGGACUCCUACGGGGGGCAGCGGUGGGGAAUAUUGCACAAUGGGCGGAGGCCUGAUGCAGCAACGCCGCGUGCGGGAUGACGGCCUUCGGGUUGUAAACGGCUUUCGCCUGUGACGAAGCGUGAGUGACGGUAAUGGGUAAAGAAGCACCGGCUAACUACGU